AAACUUGAUUAAAUAUUUUUUAUGUGAUAUAAUAAAAUUGUUAUUUUAUAACUAUAGUGAUAAACGGUUUACGAAAUAGGUUUUAUGGACCAGGGGGCAGUACCCUGCGUCUCCACCAAAAAUAUAUAUGGGGACGAAAUAGGUUCGACAUAAGAUAAUAAAGGUAGAUUUUUCACUCGGCAUAGUACCAUCGUUAUCGGGCUAAUUUUAAUAAAUGCCAAUUUGAAUAGAAAAGGCAAAAAACUCGCAGCAAAUCUUAACAGAAGAGCUGUCGUUGCAAAAGCUGCUUAAUUUGCCUGUAAUAGGACUUUAACAGACUUUGUGACUAUUGUUUUUGAAUAGACAAUAGAGUUGCGGCUUUGGGGAAUGCCGAGCAACAGAAAUUCCCCUUU
RNAcentral lists this transfer-messenger RNA (392 nucleotides) under Alphaproteobacteria bacterium. It matches the Rfam family "Alphaproteobacteria transfer-messenger RNA". From Rfam's summary of the family: Bacterial tmRNA, also known as 10Sa RNA or SsrA, is named for its dual tRNA and mRNA-like properties. Lineage: Bacteria; Pseudomonadati; Pseudomonadota; Alphaproteobacteria. The record is from RNAcentral.